This 245-nucleotide ribosomal RNA is filed under the name uncultured bacterium. RNAcentral's name for it is "partial 16S ribosomal RNA". It matches the Rfam family "Bacterial small subunit ribosomal RNA", at positions 524 to 767 of the family's 1533-position model. The record is from RNAcentral.
UACAGAGGUUACAAGCGUUAUCCGGAUUUAUUGGGCGUAAAGCGUUUCGUAGGUGGGUUUGUAAGUUACUCUUUAAAGACCACGGCUCAACCGGGGGAAGGGGAGUAAUACUGCAAGUCUUGAAAUUUGGUGGGGUUUUCGGAACUGAUGGUGUAGUAGUGAAAUACGUUGAUAUCAUCAGGAACUCCAAGGGCGAAGGCAGGAAACUAACCAAUUUUUGACACUGAGGAACGACAGCUAGGGGA